Non-coding RNA from Vicia faba (fava bean), 186 nucleotides. The record is from the annotation of a GenBank genome assembly. Lineage: Eukaryota; Viridiplantae; Streptophyta; Magnoliopsida; Fabales; Fabaceae.
AUGGUUUCGUUUCUCCCUUUCAAGUUUUACGCGCCACCGUUAAACAUAUACCAUGUGAGCAAUGGAUUAAGGAUCAGAAGAAGAAGAAGAUUAAUAAAAAAUGGAAUAAAAUUGAUGAUCAGAGGAAAACCGUUGUCGGUUGCCGUCUUUUCUGCUGCGGACGAUUUCCAGCAAGAACCCUGUUGA